GAUGAACGCUGGCGGCGUGCUUAACACAUGCACGUCGAACGGAAAGGCCCAAGCUUGCUUGGGUACUCGAGUGGCGAACGGGUGAGUAACACGUGGGUGAUCUGCCCUGCACUUCGGGAUAAGCCUGGGAAACUGGGUCUAAUACCGGAUAGGACGAUGGUUUGGAUGCCAUUGUGGAAAGUUUUUUCGGUGUGGGAUGAGCUCGCGGCCUAUCAGCUUGUUGGUGGGGUAAUGGCCUACCAAGGCGUCGACGGGUAGCCGGCCUGAGAGGGUGUACGGCCACAUUGGGACUGAGAUACGGCCCAGACUCCUACGGGAGGCAGCAAUGGGGAAUAUUGCACAAUGGGCGCAAGCCUGAUGCAGCGACGCCGCGUGGGGGAUGACGGCCUUCGGGUUGUAAACUCCUUUCGCUAGGGACGAAGCGUUUUUGUGACGGUACCUGGAGAAGAAGCACCGGCUAACUACGUG
This 468-nucleotide ribosomal RNA is filed under the name uncultured bacterium. RNAcentral's name for it is "partial 16S ribosomal RNA". It matches the Rfam family "Bacterial small subunit ribosomal RNA", at positions 28 to 507 of the family's 1533-position model. The record is from RNAcentral.